This 441-nucleotide ribosomal RNA is filed under the name uncultured bacterium. RNAcentral's name for it is "bacterial SSU rRNA". It matches the Rfam family "Bacterial small subunit ribosomal RNA", at positions 337 to 794 of the family's 1533-position model. The record is from RNAcentral.
UCCUACGGGAGGCAGCAGUAGGGAAUAUUGCAUAAUGGGCGAAAGCCUGAUGCAGCAACGCCGCGUGUGCGAUGAAGGCCUUCGGGUCGUAAAGCACUUUUGGAGGGGAUGAGGAAGGACAGUACCCUCUGAAUAAGCCUCGGCUAACUACGUGCCAGCAGCCGCGGUAAAACGUAGGAGGCGAGCGUUAUCCGGAUUUACUGGGCGUAAAGCGCGUGCAGGUGGUUCGGUAAGUUGGAUGUGAAAGCUCCUGGCUUAACUGGGAGAGGUCGUUCAAUACUACCGGACUUGAGAGUGGGAGAGGGAGGUGGAAUUCCGGGUGUAGUGGUGAAAUGCGUAGAUAUCCGGAGGAACACCAGUGGCGAAAGCGGCCUCCUGGCCCACAACUGACACUCAGACGCGAAAGCUAGGGGAGCGAACGGGAUUAGAUACCCCGGUAGC